This 468-nucleotide ribosomal RNA is filed under the name uncultured bacterium. Its description in RNAcentral is "partial 16S ribosomal RNA". It matches the Rfam family "Bacterial small subunit ribosomal RNA", at positions 28 to 507 of the family's 1533-position model. The record is from RNAcentral.
GACGAACGCUGGCGGCGUGCUUAACACAUGCAAGUCGAACGGAAAGGCCCUGCUUUUGUGGGGUGCUCGAGUGGCGAACGGGUGAGUAACACGUGAGUAACCUGCCCUUGACUUUGGGAUAACUUCAGGAAACCGGGGCUAAUACCGGAUAGGAGCUCCUGCUGCAUGGUGGGGGUUGGAAAGUUUCGGCGGUUGGGGAUGGACUCGCGGCUUAUCAGCUUGUUGGUGGGGUAGUGGCUUACCAAGGCUUUGACGGGUAGCCGGCCUGAGAGGGUGACCGGCCACAUUGGGCCUGAGAUACGGCCCAGACUCCUACGGGAGGCAGCAGUGGGGAAUAUUGCACAAUGGGCGGAAGCCUGAUGCAGCAACGCCGCGUGCGGGAUGACGGCCUUCGGGUUGUAAACCGCUUUCGCCUGUGACGAAGCGUGAGUGACGGUAAUGGGUAAAGAAGCACCGGCUAACUACGUG